CCUACGGGAUGCAGCAGUGGGGAAUAUUGCACAAUGGGGGAAACCCUGAUGCAGCGACGCCGCGUGAGUGAAGAAGUCUUUCGGUAUGUAAAGCUCUAUCAGCAGGGAAGAAAAAAGACGGUACCUGACUCCGACGCCCCGGCUCACUACGUGCCAGCAGCCGCGGUCAUACGUAGGGGGCAACCGUUACCCGGAUUUACUGGGUGUAAGGGGAGGGUAGACGGCAUUGCAAGUAGGAAGUGAAAACCCAGGGCUCAACCCGGGAACUGCUUUGGAAACUGUUGGGCUGGAGUGCUGGAGAGGUAAGCGGAAGUCCUAGUGUAGCGGUGAAAUGCGUAGAUAUUAGGAGGAACACCAGUGGCGAAGGCGGCUUACUGGACAGUAACUGACGUUGAGGCUCGAAAGCGUGGGGAGCAAACAGGAUUAGAUACCCGUGUAGUC
Molecule: ribosomal RNA, 441 nt
Filed under: uncultured bacterium
Lineage: Bacteria
Description: partial 16S ribosomal RNA
Rfam family: Bacterial small subunit ribosomal RNA
Source: RNAcentral